GCGCUGAGGUUGCAGUAGUGGAGAGCGAGAGAAAGAGGUACUUCGCAUCAAUUUAUCACUCCGUCAGCUGACUUCCAUUGUAAGAAGAACGUAGAUAAGGAAAUCUACGAAUAUAUAAUUGAAAAAAUGUUACUCGCGAUCAGAAAUUUAAUUCUUUUCGUGUUUUUUAGUAUUUGCCUAAUAAACGUUACAGCAACUUUAAUUUCUACUGAAGAACAAGGUAAAAGUACUCUACUAGAAAUUGGAAAAAAA
Molecule: long non-coding RNA, 252 nt
Organism: Centruroides sculpturatus (bark scorpion)
Lineage: Eukaryota; Metazoa; Arthropoda; Arachnida; Scorpiones; Buthidae
Exons: 2
Source: RefSeq, a predicted model, not a curated record